CAGUCGCCGCGGUAAUACGGAGGGUGCAAGCGUUAAUCGGAAUUACUGGGCGUAAAGCGCACGCAGGCGGUCUGACAAGUCAGAUGUGAAAUCCCCGGGCUUAACCUGGGAACUGCAUUUGAAACUGUCAGGCUGGAGUCUUGUAGAGGGGGGUAGAAUUCCAGGUGUAGCGGUGAAAUGCGUAGAGAUCUGGAGGAAUACCGGUGGCGAAGGCGGCCCCCUGGACAAAGACUGACGCUCAGGUGCGAAAGCGUGGGGAGCAAACAGGAUUAGAUACCCGAGUAGUCCCUGUCUCUUAUAC
Molecule: ribosomal RNA, 301 nt
Filed under: uncultured bacterium
Lineage: Bacteria
Description: partial 16S ribosomal RNA
Rfam family: Bacterial small subunit ribosomal RNA
Source: RNAcentral